CCCGAAGUAUCCUGAAUCUUUCGCAUUGUUAAUCAUACAAAUGCAUAUAAUAAACAUAAAAUUCAUAGAUAAUCAUGCCAUUAUAUAAUUCCGAAAAAUUAACGCAUUGUAUUUCAUAUAAAUCUAUCAGCACUUUAACAAAUUAAUGACAUUUAUUCUGUGUUAAAAUGCAAGCAAAUUAAUUUGAAUAAACUAUAAGCCAUAUUUUAUGAUAAAUAUAUUAGAUACUAAUAGAUUACAAUGUCCUUAUAUGGAAAAAAUGCACACUAUUAUUACAGUAUUUUUUAAAUACCAUAACUCUAAUGAUGAAUUUUCCAUAACGGAUAUUCAGGUUCAUCGGGC
RNAcentral lists this ribosomal RNA (342 nucleotides) under Scaptodrosophila latifasciaeformis. RNAcentral's name for it is "28S ribosomal RNA, D2 domain". The record is from RNAcentral. Lineage: Eukaryota; Metazoa; Arthropoda; Insecta; Diptera; Drosophilidae.